AAGCGAAACAGCAAGGCCUUGCGCCUUGUCUGUCUGCCCGGUGUGGUUGCCGGGCACUGAUGAGCAGCCGAGA
This 73-nucleotide non-coding RNA is filed under the name Shewanella algae. Lineage: Bacteria; Pseudomonadati; Pseudomonadota; Gammaproteobacteria; Alteromonadales; Shewanellaceae. The record is from RNAcentral.